UCCCUCCGCCCCCGGCCUGGCGCGCCUGCGGCGGCCUCAGCGGCACCAUCGGAGCGCGCGCUCGCGUGCAGUCAGACCCGCCCGCGCUGCCCCCGCGGACCUCCCCACGGCCGCGGCCCCCCCGCCCCGGGCUGCCCGCCCUUCUUGACUGCGCCGAGCAAAUGCAGCUGGGCCCGCUCGAGCAUCCUGUGUUUGUUGCUGGCAUCUGUGAAACGGUGAGAGGACCCAGACCCUUCACAGAUCCUGAAACUACGGUCUACCUACGAGAAUCAUGAUGCUGUUGGCCUAAUCUUCACCUCCCUAUGCUUGUCCUUCUGUGAAAAGAAGAUAAGAGAGGGGAUGAGUCAAGUAACAUAAUAAACGUCUGAGAAGUUCUCACAAUUCAUCCUGAUUUCCUCAUUGCCAAGUUUUGACACAGAAGGUUCUUUUUUGAUAAGACUGAAUGCUCGGGACUGUUGCUCGCCAUUCUUCCUGCAGCCCAUGCUAAGGUUCAGGAUACUCUGGCACUUUGAAGUUAACUCCAUUCCAUCCUUUGCAUCAACUAAAAUCCCAACUCUUUUGUGAGAUUUCCUUCGGGGUCAAGCCGGGCUCUACAUCUGCUGUAUUAUAUUCCAACUGAUUGGAAGAACCUCCGAAGCGCAGAGGAGCUGGCCCAGCCGGAGUCCAGGGGGCGCGACCUAAGGAACUCGCCAUCACCGUGGAGCGAGUGUGCACAGCGGAUCAGGAGACAACCUGGCCAUUUCUCAUUUGCACUGGAACCGCCUCCGAAGUGUGAGGCUGCGUGCGGUGCACACCCCUCAGGUGUAAGCCUCAGCCCGGCCGAGGGAAGGCUGACCCCACCUCGGGGCUCCCUCUUCCAAGGGCCUCUCUGGGAGGUGGCUUGUCCUAGACGCUGGUAAGACAAGGGCAUGAAGCACCCCAGACACCCUCCCCGACGAGUUUUUGCCACCAUAAACCUCACUUGAUGAAUAAUCUUUGUGCUGAAAGAGGAAAGAAUUUUGAUGAAGGUAAAAAUAUCCAUCGACCAGUUGCUAGAAGUAUUCUCCAGUUUAUCUCCAACUAAAUGCCCCAAAGUGACUUCAAGGGCAGGGUUGUUCCUCUUCUUUUGCCUUUUUAUGCAAAAUCAGUUCUUCUGAACAACAUAGAUAAAAUUAGCACCAAACAUAAUCUGAGCUGAGAGAGUUAAUUACACAUCCUAGAAAAGAUGCACCCAUCAAUACUUCUUCUUUUUUUUUUUCUUCCAUCAAUACUUCUUUUUAUAAAUUAUCACUUUUAAAAUUAUCUGUAUGUUUUGUUUCAUGACCUUUGUCUGAAACCAACUUUAAGGAUCAUUUCCUCACUAGGGAUAUUGCAGGGUCAAAGACUCACACUGGCAAUGAACAAGGGCUUGCAACUUGUGCUUUUCGUAAAAAUGAAAUAUUACAAGUGACAGCAAGAAUAAUGAAUCGCAAAACGGUAGCGGCAGAAAUCCUGGAACUCUUUCGUGGGAGGGUUAGAAUUGCCACCACCUUCCCUCCUUAUCACUAGCCACCUUCAACCCAGCAUAUGGUGCAGAGCUGUGCUCUCAAAGGAGGGUCCUCCAUCAUCAGGUGAAGAAUCGUGUGUGCCGAGCAUGUGUCAUAAAGUAGCUCAGAGUCUAUAUAAUUUUCUUCACAAUUAAAAUUUCUUGCUUUCAGUUUAUGAACGGACUCACAAGAGGUUGACUCUACAGAGAACAAGAGGGAGCUAACUA
Molecule: long non-coding RNA, 1732 nt
Organism: Nyctereutes procyonoides (raccoon dog)
Lineage: Eukaryota; Metazoa; Chordata; Mammalia; Carnivora; Canidae
Exons: 5
Source: RefSeq, a predicted model, not a curated record